RNAcentral lists this ribosomal RNA (458 nucleotides) under uncultured bacterium. Its description in RNAcentral is "partial 16S ribosomal RNA". It matches the Rfam family "Bacterial small subunit ribosomal RNA", at positions 338 to 795 of the family's 1533-position model. The record is from RNAcentral.
CCUACGGGGGGCAGCAGUGAGGAAUAUUGGUCAAUGGGCUUACGCCUGAACCAGCCAAGUAGCGUGAGGGAAGACUGCCCUAUGGGUUGUAAACCUCUUUUGUCGGGGAGCAAAAGCCGGACGUGUCCGGCUGUGAGAGUACCCGAAGAAAAAGCAUCGGCUAACUACGGGCCAGCAGCCGCGGUAAUACGGAGGAUGCGAGGGUUUUCCGGAUUUAUUGGGUUUAAAGGGUGCGCAGGCGGAUUUUUAAGUCAGCGGUCAAAUCGUGGGGCUCAACCCCAUCCAGCCGUUGACACUGGGGAUCUAGAGUGUGCGAGAGGUAUGCGGAAUGCGUGGUGUAGAGGUGAAAUGCAUAGAUAUCACGCAGAACCCCGAUUGCGAAGGCAGCAUACCGGUGCACAACUGACGCUCAGGCACGAAAGCGUGGGUAUCGAACAGGAUUAGAUACCCCUGUAGUC